RNAcentral lists this ribosomal RNA (425 nucleotides) under uncultured bacterium. RNAcentral's name for it is "partial 16S ribosomal RNA". It matches the Rfam family "Bacterial small subunit ribosomal RNA", at positions 354 to 796 of the family's 1533-position model. The record is from RNAcentral.
GUGGGGAAUCUUAGACAAUGGGGGAAACCCUGAUCUAGCCAUGCCGCGUGAGCGAUGAAGGCCUUAGGGUUGUAAAGCUCUUUCAGAGGGGAAGAUAAUGACGGUACCCUCAGAAGAAGCCCCGGCUAACUCCGUGCCAGCAGCCGCGGUAAUACGGAGGGGGCUAGCGUUGUUCGGAAUUACUGGGCGUAAAGCGCACGUAGGCGGACCAGAAAGUCAGGGGUGAAAUCCCGGGGCUCAACCCCGGAACUGCCUUUGAAACUCCUGGUCUUGAGGUCGAGAGAGGUGAGUGGAAUUCCGAGUGUAGAAGUGAAAUUCGUAGAUAUUCGGAGGAACACCAGUGGCGAAGGCGGCUCACUGGCUCGAUACUGACGCUGAGGUGCGAAAGCGUGGGGAGCAAACAGGAUUAGAUACCCCGGUAGUCC